UGGUGAAUAUUGCACAAUGGGCGCAAGCCUGAUGCAGCCAUGCCGCGUGUGUGAAGAAGGCCUUCGGGUUGUAAAGCACUUUCAGCGGGGAGGAAGGCGAUAAGGUUAAUAACCUUGUCGAUUGACGUUACCCGCAGAAGAAGCACCGGCUAACUCCGUGCCAGCAGCCGCGGUAAUACGGAGGGUGCAAGCGUUAAUCGGAAUUACUGGGCGUAAGGCGCACGCAGGCGGUCUGUCAAGUCGGAUGUGAAAUCCCCGGGCUCAACCUGGGAACUGCAUUCGAAACUGGCAGGCUAGAGUCUUGUAGAGGGGGGUAGAAUUCCAGGUGUAGCGGUGAAAUGCGUAGAGAUCUGGAGGAAUACCGGUGGCGAAGGCGGCCCCCUGGACAAAGACUGACGCUCAGGUGCGAAAGCGUGGGGAGCAAACAGG
This 429-nucleotide ribosomal RNA is filed under the name Chloroflexota bacterium. Its description in RNAcentral is "Chloroflexi bacterium partial 16S ribosomal RNA". It matches the Rfam family "Bacterial small subunit ribosomal RNA", at positions 355 to 776 of the family's 1533-position model. Lineage: Bacteria; Bacillati; Chloroflexota. The record is from RNAcentral.